Rhipicephalus sanguineus (brown dog tick) is the source of this 500-nucleotide long non-coding RNA. RefSeq lists it as uncharacterized. Lineage: Eukaryota; Metazoa; Arthropoda; Arachnida; Ixodida; Ixodidae. The record is from RefSeq and is a predicted model, not a curated record. The transcript is spliced from 2 exons.
CAGGUGGAUUGGAAGAAGGCUAUGAGGUGAUAUUAUUUGCAGAUCAAAACUACAGCUGCGCCGUCAUUAAUUUGACAAUAACUUUGCCCGUAGAUGUUCCCUUCUUUUGGUUGGAACUGCGCGUAAAAAAUUCGUCGAUUCAGACCGGACCGAGUCAGGAGUGCCAAAAUUACUACAAGACGGUAGCUCCAGUGUCGCGUCGAAUGUAUAACCACACUUGCCAAAGGAUACUUGAAGAACCUAUUGUGUCUAGAGCUCGCCUUGUAUCUUAUUUCACCAAGAAUGUUUAAGUGCUGCACUGGCGAACGUUUUUGACACUGCAGAAGUCCAUGCAACUUGCAAAUUAAAGGGAAUUUUGAAGUGGCAUGCAUUUAUCAUUCUGAUUUGAGCGAUGUCGGCGAUCCAGCAGAGGGCCCAUGUCAAGUCGUUCUCACGGCUGUUAGCCCUAGGGGCCUUUGAGUUAUUUUCUGGGAAAUAAAAUUGGACUUCGUUUGAUUGUG